This 1433-nucleotide ribosomal RNA is filed under the name Mammaliicoccus sciuri. RNAcentral's name for it is "bacterial SSU rRNA". It matches the Rfam family "Bacterial small subunit ribosomal RNA". Lineage: Bacteria; Bacillati; Bacillota; Bacilli; Caryophanales; Staphylococcaceae. The record is from RNAcentral.
AUACAUGCAAGUCGAGCGAACAGAUGAGAAGCUUGCUUCUCUGAUGUUAGCGGCGGACGGGUGAGUAACACGUGGGUAACCUACCUAUAAGACUGGGAUAACUCCGGGAAACCGGGGCUAAUACCGGAUAAUAUUUUGAACCGCAUGGUUCAAUAGUGAAAGACGGUUUCGGCUGUCACUUAUAGAUGGACCCGCGCCGUAUUAGCUAGUUGGUAAGGUAACGGCUUACCAAGGCGACGAUACGUAGCCGACCUGAGAGGGUGAUCGGCCACACUGGAACUGAGAACCGGUCCAGACUCCUACGGGAGGCAGCAGUAGGGAAUCUUCCGCAAUGGGCGAAAGCCUGACGGAGCAACGCCGCGUGAGUGAUGAAGGUCUUCGGAUCGUAAAACUCUGUUGUUAGGGAAGAACAAAUUUGUUAGUAACUGAACAAGUCUUGACGGUACCUAACCAGAAAGCCACGGCUAACUACGUGCCAGCAGCCGCGGUAAUACGUAGGUGGCAAGCGUUAUCCGGAAUUAUUGGGCGUAAAGCGCGCGUAGGCGGUUUCUUAAGUCUGAUGUGAAAGCCCACGGCUCAACCGUGGAGGGUCAUUGGAAACUGGGAAACUUGAGUGCAGAAGAGGAGAGUGGAAUUCCAUGUGUAGCGGUGAAAUGCGCAGAGAUAUGGAGGAACACCAGUGGCGAAGGCGGCUCUCUGGUCUGUAACUGACGCUGAUGUGCGAAAGCGUGGGGAUCAAACAGGAUUAGAUACCCUGGUAGUCCACGCCGUAAACGAUGAGUGCUAAGUGUUAGGGGGUUUCCGCCCCUUAGUGCUGCAGCUAACGCAUUAAGCACUCCGCCUGGGGAGUACGACCGCAAGGUUGAAACUCAAAGGAAUUGACGGGGACCCGCACAAGCGGUGGAGCAUGUGGUUUAAUUCGAAGCAACGCGAAGAACCUUACCAAAUCUUGACAUCCUUUGACCGCUCUAGAGAUAGAGUCUUCCCCUUCGGGGGACAAAGUGACAGGUGGUGCAUGGUUGUCGUCAGCUCGUGUCGUGAGAUGUUGGGUUAAGUCCCGCAACGAGCGCAACCCUUAAGCUUAGUUGCCAUCAUUAAGUUGGGCACUCUAGGUUGACUGCCGGUGACAAACCGGAGGAAGGUGGGGAUGACGUCAAAUCAUCAUGCCCCUUAUGAUUUGGGCUACACACGUGCUACAAUGGAUAAUACAAAGGGCAGCGAAUCCGCGAGGCCAAGCAAAUCCCAUAAAAUUAUUCUCAGUUCGGAUUGUAGUCUGCAACUCGACUACAUGAAGCUGGAAUCGCUAGUAAUCGUAGAUCAGCAUGCUACGGUGAAUACGUUCCCGGGUCUUGUACACACCGCCCGUCACACCACGAGAGUUUGUAACACCCGAAGCCGGUGGAGUAACCUUUUAGGAGCUAGCCGUCGAAGGU